GUGGAUUAGAUACCCUGGUAGUCCACGCCGUAAACUAUGGAUGCUAGCUGUAAGAGGUAUCGACCCCUCUUGUAGCGAAGCUAACGCGUUAAGCAUCCCGCCUGUGGAGUACGAGCGCAAGCUUAAAACAUAAAGGAAUUGACGGGGACCCGCACAAGCGGUGGAGCGUGUUGUUUAAUUCGAUGGUAAGCGAAGAACCUUACCCAGGUUUGACAUCUUCGGAAGGCUUCCGAAAGGAAACUGUGCCGUAAGGAACCGAAUGACAGGUGAUGCACGGCUGUCGUCAACU
RNAcentral lists this ribosomal RNA (289 nucleotides) under uncultured bacterium. Its description in RNAcentral is "partial 16S ribosomal RNA". It matches the Rfam family "Bacterial small subunit ribosomal RNA", at positions 773 to 1060 of the family's 1533-position model. The record is from RNAcentral.